Molecule: transfer RNA, 75 nt
Filed under: Podarcis lilfordi (Lilford's wall lizard)
Lineage: Eukaryota; Metazoa; Chordata; Lepidosauria; Squamata; Lacertidae
Description: tRNA.Ala
Rfam family: tRNA
About the family: Transfer RNA (tRNA) molecules are approximately 80 nucleotides in length.
Source: RNAcentral
UGAAGGGCCAUAGCUCAGUAGCUGAGCAUCUGUCUUGCAUGCAGAAGGUCCCCGGUUCAAUCCCCGGCGUCUCAA